GGGAAACCGCGCAAGUCCCAGGCUGCGGUGCCAGUCCUCCCUCUGGUGGUCGAGGAGCCGCUCCCACGAUUACAAGGCUCCCGCGGAGGGUUACUUCUUGUAGUCCCGAGACUCACUGGCUGAGAACAGGGAGGAGCCUGAGAGAUCACUGAUCCUGCCUAAACCCGGACGAGCCUCUCCACGCAUCCUCGCUUUACUGGCCCUAUGCUGGUUCUUGAGGACACACUGAUGAGAAAACGGGCUUGGAGAGGUAAUAGCAGGUGGCGUUGGUACAUGCCUCAUUUCCCCAGUCCCUGCUCCGAGCUGCCUUGCCAGCGUGGUGGUUUCCAGCACACUGAGAGCCCCUCCAUUCAAGGACUGCUUUCAGCCUCCACAACAAAGGGUGCAGUCCUUACCGGAAGCCCAGAAGCCCUCAAGACAUGGAUCAACUUCCUUCAGCCAGUCAGAUUCACUCCUCCUUCUCCUGCAAAGUACCGGCUCGUCCCUAGACAUGCACACACUCGGCCACCUCCAUCCACUUGUCGGUGCUGUUUUCAUUUGCCUGUGCAGCAUUUUUCCCAUUGGCUUCCUGUCCAGUUUUUCAAACCCAGCAGGGAUGUCACUUUCUCUGGGAAAUCCUUCCUGGCUGAAUCCCCCUGUGCUCUUUGGUGCUUCCCUAACUCUCAUUGAC
RNAcentral lists this long non-coding RNA (670 nucleotides) under Equus asinus (donkey). Its description in RNAcentral is "lncRNA (ENSEASG00005024369.1)". The record is from RNAcentral. Lineage: Eukaryota; Metazoa; Chordata; Mammalia; Perissodactyla; Equidae.